UUACAACCAUUACGCCAGCAUCCUAGCCGAAGCGCGGACCUCAGUCCCGGCUGGCCGUAUUACACCCUGGGCUAUAACACCUCCACCGAAGUGGAGGCCACAUUCCCAGAGCCUUUAUCCGGCCGCCGAAACUGAUGCUGGCCUGUCCAAACUGAGUAAACCGGUCAGAAGACCGGCCGAACAGUUUAAACAAGUCUGAUUGCAAGCGCUUCCCUUUCAACAAUUUCACGUGCUUUUUAACUCUCUUUCCAAAGUGCUUUUCAUCUUUCGAUCACUCUACUUGUGCGCUAUCGGUCUCUCGCCAAUAUUUAGCUUUAGAAGAAAUUUACCUCCCAUUUAGAGCUGCAUUCCCAAACAACUCGACUCGUCGAAGGAGAUUUACAUAGGGUGCCAUUUCCUGUCACAUACGGGAUUCUCACCCUCUAUGACGUCCUGUUCCAAGGAACUUAGACAGGCGGCUUCCCCAAAUCAUCCUCUACAAAUUACAAUGCGAACCCGAAGGCUAGCUUUCAAAUUUGAGCUGUUGCCGCUUCACUCGCCGUUACUAGGGCAAUCCC
This 557-nucleotide ribosomal RNA is filed under the name Aureobasidium proteae. Its description in RNAcentral is "partial 26S ribosomal RNA". Lineage: Eukaryota; Fungi; Ascomycota; Dothideomycetes; Dothideales; Saccotheciaceae. The record is from RNAcentral.